AUUGAACGCUGGCGGCAGGCCUAACACAUGCAAGUCGAGCGGAUGAAUGGAGCUUGCUCCUGGAUUCAGCGGCGGACGGGUGAGUAAUGCCUAGGAAUCUGCCUGGUAGCGGGGGAUAACGUCCGGAAACGGGCGCUGAUACCGCAGACGUCCUGAGGUAGAAAGUGGGGGAUCUUCGGACCUCACGCUAUCAGAGGAGCCUAGGUCGGAUUAGCUAGUUGGUGGGGUAAAGGCCUACCAAGGCGACGAUCCGUAACUGGUCUGAGAGGAUGAUCAGUCACACUGGAACUGAGACACGGUCCAGAAUCCUACGGGAGGCAGCAGUGGGGAAUAUUGGACAAUGGGCGAAAGCCUGAUCCAGCCAUGCCGCGUGUGUGAAGAAGGGCUUCGGAUUGUAAAGCACUUUAAGUUGGGAGGAAGAGCAGUAAGUUAAUACCGUGCUGUUUUGACGUUACCAACAGAAUAAGCACCGGCUAACUUCGU
Molecule: ribosomal RNA, 483 nt
Filed under: uncultured bacterium
Lineage: Bacteria
Description: partial 16S ribosomal RNA
Rfam family: Bacterial small subunit ribosomal RNA
Source: RNAcentral